UUAGGGGAGAAGGAUUUGAACCAACAUCAAAAAACCCAAAAUUUUACGAAUUUCAAUUAUACUACCCCCUA
This 71-nucleotide transfer RNA is filed under the name Calumma furcifer. RNAcentral describes it as "tRNA-Gln". The record is from RNAcentral. Lineage: Eukaryota; Metazoa; Chordata; Lepidosauria; Squamata; Chamaeleonidae.